UAGGGAAUCUUCGGCAAUGGACGAAAGUCUGAACGAGCAACGCCGCGUGAGUGAAGAAGGUUUUCGGAUCGUAAAACUCUGUUGUUAGAGAAGAACAAGGACGUUAGUAACUGAACGUCCCCUGACGGUAUCUAACCAGAAAGCCACGGCUAACUACGUGCCAGCAGCCGCGGUAAUACGUAGGUGGCAAGCGUUGUCCGGAUUUAUUGGGCGUAAAGCGAGCGCAGGCGGUUUCUUAAGUCUGAUGUGAAAGCCCCCGGCUCAACCGGGGAGGGGCAUUGGAAACUGGGAGACUUGAGUGCAGAAGAGGAGAGUGGAAUUCCAUGUGUAGCGGUGAAAUGCGUAGAUAUAUGGAGGAACACCAGUGGCGAAGGCGGCUCUCUGGUCUGUAACUGACGCUGAGGCUCGAAAGCGUGGGGAGCAAACAGG
Molecule: ribosomal RNA, 429 nt
Filed under: Gemmatimonadota bacterium
Lineage: Bacteria; Pseudomonadati; Gemmatimonadota
Description: Gemmatimonadetes bacterium partial 16S ribosomal RNA
Rfam family: Bacterial small subunit ribosomal RNA
Source: RNAcentral